UAGGAAGGGGGCUAGCGUUGCUCGGAAUCACUGGGCGUAAAGCGCACGUAGGCGGCUUCUUAAGUCAGGGGUGAAAUCCUGGGGCUCAACCCCAGAACUGCCCUUGAUACUGAGGAGGUUGAGUCCGGGAGAGGUGAGUGGAACUCCGAGUGUAGAGGUGAAAUUCGUAGAUAUUCGGAAGAACACCAGUGGCGAAGGCGGCUCACUGGCCCGGUACUGACGCUGGGGUGCGAAAGCGGGGGGAGCAAACAGG
This 253-nucleotide ribosomal RNA is filed under the name uncultured bacterium. Its description in RNAcentral is "partial 16S ribosomal RNA". It matches the Rfam family "Bacterial small subunit ribosomal RNA", at positions 524 to 776 of the family's 1533-position model. The record is from RNAcentral.